UAGGAUUCCCCUAGUAGCUGCGAGCGAACAGGGAAAAGCCCAGCACCGAAUCCCGCGUCCGACAUCGGACGCCGGGAAAUGUGGUGUUUGGGAGGAUCCGCUUAUCCCGAGUGCGUGCGGUGCGUCCAAGUCCUUCUUGAACGGGGCCAUAACCCAAAGAGGGUGCCAGGCCCGUAGCGACUGCUGCCGUGCUCGGGAGGAUCUCUCCUUAGAGUCGGGUUGCUUGAGAGUGCAGCCCUAAGUGGGUGGUAAACUCCAUCUAAGGCUAAAUAUGACCACGAGACCGAUAGCGAACAAGUACCGUGAGGGAAAGUUGAAAAGCACUUUGAAGAGAGAGUUCAAAAGUACGUGAAACCGUUCAGGGGUAAACCUGAGAAACCCGAAAGUUCGAAAGGGGAAAUUCAUUCGCGUUUCGAAUGCAGCGGCUGGUGGUCUCGGUACGAGCGACAAUCGUAGACGUCGUUUGGCCAUUUCGCUAGUCGAACUGCGUUCGAACGCGUGCACUUUUCCCCUAGUAGGACGUCGCGAUCCGUUGGGUGUCGGUCUAAGGCCCGCGGUGGAGCCCGUUCGGACGGUUCGCCGUUUCGUUCGGACCCGCGGUGUUUCCCGGCCGGCUCGCUCGACGGUAUACAGAUGGCGCGGGGCCGCGAUUCAGUUCGCGUCCGGCCUGCGUUCAGCACGUCGCGUGUGUUGGCGAUCGGACCUAGUGCCGGUCUCGACCACGUUCGGCUGCUGUGCGUGGCGUUCUCGGACAGACCUCGUUGAAACGCUGAUCUGCGACGCAUUAGAUUUGGGUACUUUCAGGACCCGUCUUGAAACACGGACCAAGGAGUCUAGCAUGUGCGCGAGUCAUUGGGACAUGACUAAACCUAAAGGCGCAAUGAAAGUAAAUGUUGGCUUUACGCUAACUAAGGGAGGAUGGGCGGUUUGCCUAAUCAGUGGCCGCCCCGCACUCCCGGGGCGUCUCGUUCUCAUCGAGAGAAGAGGCGCACCAAGAGCGUACACGCUGGGACCCGAAAGAUGGUGAACUAUGCCUGGUCAGGACGAAGUCAGGGGAAACCCUGAUGGAGGUCCGUAGCGAUUCUGACGUGCAAAUCGAUCGUCGGAACUGGGUAUAGGGGCGAAAGACUAAUCGAACCAUCUAGUAGCUGGUUCCCUCCGAAGUUUCCCUCAGGAUAGCUGGCGCUCAUAGCGUACGAGUUUCAUCCGGUAAAGCGAAUGAUUAGAGGCAUUGGGGUCGAAACGACCUCAACCUAUUCUCAAACUUUAAAUGGGUGAGAUCUCCGGCUUGCUUGAAAAUUCAUGAAGCCGCGAGUAUUCGAAUCAGAG
RNAcentral lists this ribosomal RNA (1329 nucleotides) under Bactridium sp. DDM0891. RNAcentral's name for it is "eukaryotic LSU rRNA". It matches the Rfam family "Eukaryotic large subunit ribosomal RNA", at positions 70 to 1119 of the family's 3401-position model. The record is from RNAcentral. Lineage: Eukaryota; Metazoa; Arthropoda; Insecta; Coleoptera; Monotomidae.